This 91-nucleotide small nucleolar RNA is filed under the name Capsicum annuum. Its description in RNAcentral is "Small nucleolar RNA U31b". It matches the Rfam family "Small nucleolar RNA U31b". The record is from Rfam by way of RNAcentral. Lineage: Eukaryota; Viridiplantae; Streptophyta; Magnoliopsida; Solanales; Solanaceae.
GAAAAUGAUGAGAGUUAUUGUCGCCCCAGUCUUAUGUUGCAUUCAAUUUAUUGGAUUUGCAAGGUGGUGAUUGACACAUCAUAUCUGAUUC